This 32-nucleotide non-coding RNA is filed under the name Rattus norvegicus (Norway rat). Lineage: Eukaryota; Metazoa; Chordata; Mammalia; Rodentia; Muridae. The record is from RNAcentral.
UACAACAGCCACAUUGUCUGCAGUAUAGCAUC